CAGCCGCCGCGGUAAUACGUAGGUGGCAAGCGUUGUCCGGAAUUAUUGGGCGUAAAGCGUGCGCAGGCGGUUAUAUAAGUCAGAUGUGAAAUCCCCGGGCUCAACCUGGGAACUGCAUUUGAGACUGUAUGGCUAGAGUGUGUCAGAGGGGGGUAGAAUUCCACGUGUAGCAGUGAAAUGCAUAGAUAUGCGGAGGAACACCGAUGGCGAAGGCAAUCCCCCGGACCUGUACUGACGCUCACGCACGAAAGCGUGGGGAGCAAACAGGAUUAGAGACCCCCGUAGUCCCUGUCUCUUAUAC
RNAcentral lists this ribosomal RNA (301 nucleotides) under uncultured bacterium. RNAcentral describes it as "partial 16S ribosomal RNA". It matches the Rfam family "Bacterial small subunit ribosomal RNA", at positions 509 to 807 of the family's 1533-position model. The record is from RNAcentral.